RNAcentral lists this ribosomal RNA (492 nucleotides) under uncultured bacterium. Its description in RNAcentral is "partial 16S ribosomal RNA". It matches the Rfam family "Bacterial small subunit ribosomal RNA", at positions 29 to 507 of the family's 1533-position model. The record is from RNAcentral.
AGUGAACGCUGGCGGUAGGCCUAACACAUGCAAGUCGAACGGCAGCACAGUAAGAGCUUGCUCUUACGGGUGGCGAGUGGCGGACGGGUGAGGAAUACAUCGGAAUCUACUUUUUCGUGGGGGAUAACGUAGGGAAACUUACGCUAAUACCGCAUACGACCUACGGGUGAAGGCAGGGGAUAUUCGGACAUUGCGUGAUUGAAUGAGCUGAUGUCGGAUUAGCUAGUUGGCGGGGUAAAGGCCCACCAAGGCGACGAUCCGUAGCUGGUCUGAGAGGAUGAUCAGCCACACUGGAACUGAGACACGGUCCAGACUCCUACGGGAGGCAGCAGUGGGGAAUAUUGGACAAUGGGCGCAAGCCUGAUCCAGCCAUACCGCGUGGGUGAAGAAGGCCUUCGGGUUGUAAAGCCCUUUUGUUGGGAAAGAAAAGCAGCAGGUUAAUACCCCGCUGUUCUGACGGUACCCAAAGAAUAAGCACCGGCUAACUUCGUG